CAGCACCUCAAGUGGUCAGGAUGAUUAUUGGGCCUAAAGCAUCCGUAGCCGGCGCUGUAAGUUUUCGGUUAAAUCUGUACGCUCAACGUACAGGCUGCCGGGAAUACUGCAGCGCUAGGGAAUGGGAGAGGUAGACGGUACUCGGUAGGAAGGGGUAAAAUCCUUUGAUCUAUUGAUGACCACCUGUGGCGAAGGCGGUCUACCAGAACACGUCCGACGGUGAGGGAUGAAAGCUGGGUGAGCAAACCGGAUUAGAUACCCGAGUAGUCC
RNAcentral lists this ribosomal RNA (270 nucleotides) under uncultured archaeon. RNAcentral describes it as "partial 16S ribosomal RNA". It matches the Rfam family "Archaeal small subunit ribosomal RNA", at positions 477 to 747 of the family's 1478-position model. The record is from RNAcentral.